Molecule: small RNA, 182 nt
Filed under: Streptomyces sp.
Lineage: Bacteria; Bacillati; Actinomycetota; Actinomycetes; Kitasatosporales; Streptomycetaceae
Also listed under: 1 other name
Description: c-di-AMP sequence
Rfam family: c-di-AMP riboswitch aptamer (ydaO/yuaA leader)
About the family: This family represents a conserved RNA structure found upstream of the ydaO and yuaA genes in Bacillus subtilis and related genes in other bacteria. The ydaO/yuaA element is thought to act as a genetic "off" switch for the ydaO and yuaA genes in its native state.
Source: RNAcentral
GCCGCGCGGAUGCCAGGUCGACACGAGAGCAACGGCGGGAGCGGAGGACCCAGCACGACGGGGCCGGCCACGGAAACUGCUUCCCGGCCGUCCCCUUGGGGUGAAGCCGCGCUGUGCGGCCGGGCAUCUUCGCCUGCCCGAACCCGACAGGUCAUCCUUCGCAGGCAGAUGACGAAGGGUCG